UACGUAGGUGGCAAGCGUUGUCCGGAUUUACUGGGCGUAAAGGGCGUGCAGGCGGUUUGUUAAGUCUAGGGUGAAAGCUCCCGGCUCAACUGGGAGAGGUCCUUGGAUACUGGCAGACUUGAGGAGGGUAGAGGAGAGUGGAAUUCCCGGUGUAGUGGUGAUAUGCGUAGAUAUCGGGAGGAACACCAGUGGCGAAGGCGGCUCACUGGCCCGAUACUGACGCUGAUGCACGAAAGCGUGGGGAGCAAACAGG
RNAcentral lists this ribosomal RNA (253 nucleotides) under uncultured bacterium. Its description in RNAcentral is "partial 16S ribosomal RNA". It matches the Rfam family "Bacterial small subunit ribosomal RNA", at positions 524 to 776 of the family's 1533-position model. The record is from RNAcentral.